UGCAAGUCGAGCGCGAAAACACUUCGGUGUGAGUAAAGCGGCGGACGGGUGAGUAACGCGUAGGAAUCUACCUAGUAGUGGGGGACAACUCGGGGAAACUCGAGCUAAUACCGCAUACGCCCUACGGGGGAAAGCGGGGGACCUUCGGGCCUCGUGCUAUUAGAUGAGCCUGCGUUGGAUUAGCUAGUUGGUGGGGUAAAGGCCUACCAAGGCGACGAUCCAUAGCUGGUCUGAGAGGAUGAUCAGCCACACCGGGACUGAGACACGGCCCGGACUCCUACGGGAGGCAGCAGUGGGGAAUAUUGCGCAAUGGGCGAAAGCCUGACGCAGCCAUGCCGCGUGUGUGAAGAAGGCCUUCGGGUUGUAAAGCACUUUCAAUUGGGAGGAAAGGUUCACGACUAAUACUCGUGAGCUGUGACGUUACCUUUAGAAGAAGCACCGGCUAACUCCGUGCCAGCAGCCGCGGUAAUACGGAGGGUGCGAGCGUUAAUCGGAAUUACUGGGCGUAAAGCGCGCGUAGGUGGUCUGUUAAGUCGGAUGUGAAAGCCCCGGGCUCAACCUGGGAACUGCAUCCGAUACUGGCAGACUAGAGUGCGGGAGAGGGAGGUAGAAUUCCACGUGUAGCGGUGAAAUGCGUAGAUAUGUGGAGGAAUACCGGUGGCGAAGGCGGCCUCCUGGCUCGACACUGACACUGAGGUGCGAAAGCGUGGGGAGCAAACANGGAUUAGAUACCCUGGUAGUCCACGCCGUAAACGAUGUCUACUAGCUGUAGGGGNACUUGAGACCU
RNAcentral lists this ribosomal RNA (787 nucleotides) under uncultured Gammaproteobacteria bacterium. RNAcentral describes it as "SSU rRNA". It matches the Rfam family "Bacterial small subunit ribosomal RNA", at positions 56 to 840 of the family's 1533-position model. The record is from RNAcentral. Lineage: Bacteria; Pseudomonadati; Pseudomonadota; Gammaproteobacteria.